This 82-nucleotide transfer RNA is filed under the name Lachnospiraceae bacterium. RNAcentral describes it as "tRNA-Leu". It matches the Rfam family "tRNA". From Rfam's summary of the family: Transfer RNA (tRNA) molecules are approximately 80 nucleotides in length. Their secondary structure includes four short double-helical elements and three loops (D, anti-codon, and T loops). Lineage: Bacteria; Bacillati; Bacillota; Clostridia; Lachnospirales; Lachnospiraceae. The record is from RNAcentral.
GCAUCCGUGGCGGAACUGGUAUACGCAACUGGUUUAAGCCCAGCUGCCGUAAGGAUUGGGGGUUCGAAUCCCUCCGGAUGCA